RNAcentral lists this ribosomal RNA (253 nucleotides) under uncultured bacterium. RNAcentral describes it as "partial 16S ribosomal RNA". It matches the Rfam family "Bacterial small subunit ribosomal RNA", at positions 524 to 776 of the family's 1533-position model. The record is from RNAcentral.
UACGGAGGGGGCUAGCGUUAAUCGGAAUUACUGGGCGUAAAGCGCACGUAGGCGGCGCAGCAAGUCAGGGGUGAAAUCCCGGGGCUCAACCCCGGAACUGCCCUUGAAACUGCAGUGCUAGAAUCUUGGAGAGGCGAGUGGAAUUCCGAGUGUAGAGGUGAAAUUCGUAGAUAUUCGGAAGAACACCAGUGGCGAAGGCGACUCGCUGGACAAGUAUUGACACUGAGGUGCGACAGCGUGGGGAGCGAACAGG